GAGGGGCCCGCGUCGGAUUAGCUAGUUGGCGGGGUAAUGGCCCACCAAGGCUACGAUCCGUAGCUGGUCUGAGAGGAUGAUCAGCCACACUGGGACUGAGAUACGGCCCAGACUCCUACGGGAGGCAGCAGUGGGGAAUAUUGGACAAUGGGGGAAACCCUGAUCCAGCAAUGCCGCGUGAGUGAAGAAGGCCUUAGGGUUGUAAAGCUCUUUCGGCGGGGACGAUGGUGACGGUACCCGCAGAAGAAGCCCCGGCUAACUUCGUGCCAGCAGCCGCGGUAAUACGAAGGGGGCUAGCGUUGUUCGGAAUCACUGGGCGUAAAGGGCGCGUAGGCGGCGCGACAAGUCAGGCGUGAAAGCCCCGGGCUCAACCCGGGAAUUGCGCUUGAUACUGUCGUGCUUGAGGCCGGGAGAGGAUGGCGGAAUUCCCAGUGUAGAGGUGAAAUUCGUAGAUAUUGGGAAG
RNAcentral lists this ribosomal RNA (463 nucleotides) under uncultured Pseudomonadota bacterium. Its description in RNAcentral is "bacterial SSU rRNA". It matches the Rfam family "Bacterial small subunit ribosomal RNA", at positions 224 to 704 of the family's 1533-position model. The record is from RNAcentral. Lineage: Bacteria; Pseudomonadati; Pseudomonadota.